GUAUUCACUCAAGUAGCACAUGUACUAAAAAACUGAAACGAUACAGACAAGAUUAGUAUGGUAUGGCUCCUGCAUAAAGAUGACCUGCAAAUUCAUAAAGCAUUCGUUUCU
Pteropus vampyrus (large flying fox) is the source of this 111-nucleotide small nuclear RNA. NCBI's taxonomy places the organism in Eukaryota, Metazoa, Chordata, Mammalia, Chiroptera, Pteropodidae. The record is from Ensembl.